AGUGAACGCUGGCGGUAGGCCUAACACAUGCAAGUCGAACGGCAGCACCGUAAGAGCUUGCUCUUACGGGUGGCGAGUGGCGGACGGGUGAGGAAUACAUCGGACUCUACUUUUUCGUGGGGGUUAACGUAGGGAAACUUACGCUAAUACCGCAUACGCCCUACGGGUGAAAGCAGGGGAUCUUCGGACCUUGCGCGAUUGAAUGCGCCGAUGCCGGAUUAGCUAGUUGGCGGGGUAAAGGCCCACCAAGGGGACGAUCCGUAGCUGGUCUGAGAGGAUGAUCAGCGACAUUGGAAGUGAAACACGGACAAGAGGCCUGAAGGAGGCAGCAGAGGGGAAUGGGGGACAAUGGGCGGAAGCCUUGCACAGUCAUACCGCGUGGGUGAAGAAGGCCUCCGGGUUGGAAAGCCCUUUUUUGGGGAAAGAAAAGCAGCAGGUUAAGACCACGCUGUUGUGACGGUACCCAAAGAAGAAGCACCGGCUAACUUCGUG
This 492-nucleotide ribosomal RNA is filed under the name uncultured bacterium. RNAcentral's name for it is "partial 16S ribosomal RNA". It matches the Rfam family "Bacterial small subunit ribosomal RNA", at positions 29 to 507 of the family's 1533-position model. The record is from RNAcentral.